AUGGCUGCAGGUGGAGCACCUCUUCUUGUUGUUGUUGUUGUUUUCUCCAUGCUGAUCACGUCUUCCCUGGGGGGGCCGAGGCCUUUAUGCAGCGAGUGUGAGACGCAAUGCCGUACCAACUGCACCGCGAUGGUUGAAACCUCCUGCAGGGGUUACUGCACCAGUGGUGGCGGACCUCGAUCGAGCUGCAGGAAAUACGUCUUCGAGGAUUGCAACGUAAAGGGUACCUGCUGCAGUAGCAACGGCACAUGCACUUGUGACUGCAACACUGUGGCUGAAAGGGGUUGCAUGAGCGUCAGCGACGGCACCCUACAAUGUGACCCUUGCAAGCGCAGCAUAUACGACCAGUGCGGUUCCACCUGUAGGAAUGACUGCAACAACAACUGCAAGAAGAAAGGGUGCCGCCAUGAUUAG
RNAcentral lists this ribosomal RNA (414 nucleotides) under Triticum aestivum (bread wheat). RNAcentral's name for it is "partial small subunit ribosomal RNA". Lineage: Eukaryota; Viridiplantae; Streptophyta; Magnoliopsida; Poales; Poaceae. The record is from RNAcentral.